GAGUAAUGUCUGGGAAACUGCCUGAUGGAGGGGGAUAACUACUGGAAACGGUAGCUAAUACCGCAUAACGUCGCAAGACCAAAGAGGGGGACCUUCGGGCCUCUUGCCAUCGGAUGUGCCCAGAUGGGAUUAGCUAGUAGGUGGGGUAACGGCUCACCUAGGCGACGAUCCCUAGCUGGUCUGAGAGGAUGACCAGCCACACUGGAACUGAGACACGGUCCAGACUCCUACGGGAGGCAGCAGUGGGGAAUAUUGCACAAUGGGCGCAAGCCUGAUGCAGCCAUGCCGCGUGUAUGAAGAAGGCCUUCGGGUUGUAAAGUACUUUCAGCGGGGAGGAAGGGAGUAAAGUUAAUACCUUUGCUCAUUGACGUUACCCGCAGAAGAAGCACCGGCUAACUCCGUGCCAGCAGCCGCGGUAAUACGGAGGGUGCAAGCGUUAAUCGGAAUUACUGGGCGUAAAGCGCACGCAGGCGGUUUGUUAAGUCAGAUGUGAAAUCCCCGGGCUCAACCUGGGAACUGCAUCUGAUACUGGCAAGCUUGAGUCUCGUAGAGGGGGGUAGAAUUCCAGGUGUAGCGGUGAAAUGCGUAGAGAUCUGGAG
Molecule: ribosomal RNA, 599 nt
Filed under: Escherichia coli
Lineage: Bacteria; Pseudomonadati; Pseudomonadota; Gammaproteobacteria; Enterobacterales; Enterobacteriaceae
Description: bacterial SSU rRNA
Rfam family: Bacterial small subunit ribosomal RNA
Source: RNAcentral